GUUUCCCAGAGACCAGCUUGGGCCGAUGGGGAGGCUUGCUGGCAGAGGGCCCGCGGGAGACCGAGGGGAGACACGCAGGCCUGGCCGCGGGGGGCGCCGCACCCCGCCUGCCUCCUCCUCCUUCUCCUUUCCCAAGCCCACUCUGGCCUCUCUCCCCCAAAGACCUAGCCCGUGUCUCAUUGCUGCAGACCCAUUUGGGCACGCACUCACCGUGUUUUCUGGACACUUCCAACCUGCCAGGCACCGGGAGAUACGAGAUGAGUUGGCGGGCUCUGCGGUCCGGGAGCUCCGGGUCCUGUGGACAAGUUGUUAUUUUGCAUCAGGGGGAAAAAUGAGAAGAAUUUAAUUCAUCAUUAAGUGCUGCGAAGGAAAAAUGCAGCGAAGGAACCACAGCCAAGGAACAGCAUGAAACUGGAAGGUGAAGCAGACAGAGUCCACCAGGCUGGGCCACAGGGCGAAUCUGGCUGUCGCAGGCUCUGCCUCGGGGAGUCCAUGCGGGCCUGUCCCUGGACCUUUUUGGCCGCCCCAGGGGAUCUUUGGCCAGCUAGCCGCGCAGCAGGUGUCCGCAGACAACGUCCAUGGCAGGGAAGCUUCCGUGUGCCCACCUGCGCCCCAGCGAGGCAGCGGGGAGGCGGCAGGCUGGUCAUCCAGGCCUGUGCGGGCUCUCAUCCCAGCCCCGGCCCUUACUAGCUGCGCUGACCGCAGGUCCACUGUCCGAGCUCUGAAUAAGGGUCCCAGCGUCCACCUCGUGGAAGACGGAGCCAGGUCACUGGAGCCUGCAGGGCACACGUGUGCAGCCCAUUUGUGAAGGAAGGAGGUCGGACUGGAGGCGUCCCCUCGGCCUGUCCGGUUCUACGAUUCCCUGUCUCAUCCAUUCCCACAUCAUGAGUUAUUUGGCCGGGGCAGGAAAGGGAAAUGGAACACUAACAGCGUGUUCUGAACGCGGCAGGCACACCGGACUCUGCGUGACAGGCUGUGUGUGCUGUCUGCUCCCCGAGUCCAGGAGCUCCGGGGGGCGGGAGCCUGUCUGUGCAUCUCAGAGCCCCGAACUGUGCCCGAGCUCCUGGGCGCCUACCGGGAGUUCAGAGCCGUUGCUGGCUGGAGGCCCCCCGCGGCAACCGGAGCGUAAACCGCCCCAUGGAGACCAGCACAGAGGACUGAUGUUCCUGAGCAACGUUCGAGAAGCCACCAUGUUCUGCACAGUGCCCAGGGCAGAGCCUGGCGCUGACCCGCACACCCCGCGGGAACGGAGCGGCCCCUCUGCGCUCCGGCGCUCGAACGCUGACUCCAGGGCUGGUUCCGCGGUCCUCACUCGUCUGCUGACCCCCCACUGCCUCCCGUCUUUGUUCGUUAUCGUUUGUGUUGCUCUGACAACUUGAGAUAGGUUUCUGCACCUUCUACCCAGUUUAUAUACAUCAUGAGUCUGAUCAUGCGGGCACUAGCGUACUUUUGUAUAUGCUUAAAAAUAUAGUCUGCCCUUGCUUUCUUUUCUAGGUUUUUAACCCUGUGGUUAACAUACACACAUAAAAUUGGCCAUUUUAACUAUUUUUAAGCGCACGGUUUAGUGGUCGCCAGCACACCCAGCACCAGCCUGUCUCCGGGACAUGAUCAUCUUCCCAAACUGAGGCCGCGUCCACAUUGAACACUAACUGCCUGUCCCCCUCUUGUUCGGGGCCCCACACCGCACAGCUUUGUGGUGACUCUGUGAAUGGGUCGGAGUGACACCCACCCGCGGGAGGGCUGCGUUGCCCCCACACUCUAAAGAAGCCCAGGAGGCUUUGUGCCUCUUCCUUGGCUGUAGGAGGCUUCAGACGCACCAGCUUACCCUUCACCUUAGAAGACCUGUCUCGACAUGCCCGCACCGCUGGGCCCCAGGAGCUGCAAUAUGUCUUCAAAAUACCCGUGACCUAAAAUUCACCAUGAAUCCAGUGGCACUGAGCACAUUCACACGGCUGUGCAGCCCUCACCGUCAUCCCUUUCCAGAACUUUCCUUCUCCCCAAACUGAAGCUGUCCCCAUUGCCGCCUAGAGACCCCCAUUCUACUCUCCGUCUCUCCGAGUCUGAUUCCCUCUAGGAAGCACAUGUAAGGGACUGCACCGGAUCUUUCGUCUGCUCCCUACGCUCCGGGCUAUGAGAACAACCGUGGGCCCCAUGUCACCCAGGGACCAUGCUGCAGUGCUGGGGGCCAUAGGCAGGCUCCUCUGGCUCUGGAAGUCCUCGGCAUUUCCAUCGUCCUCAGUUGUCUGGGUGUGAACGGGGCUGGGACCUGAGAGAAGGUGCUCUUUGGGAAGUACCCAUCUUACGGAGAGACACGCGGCUCUGUCCCGCUGGUCACCCGUGGCCUCCGUGAGGAGGGUGCUGUCAGGGUGGAAAGCACAGGUCCCCAGGUCCCGGCCUUCCUUCGUGGGGACAGCUCCUCGAGGCUCCGGUAGCUCGGGCCUGUGUUUGCAGGAAGUCUCCUUGUUUAUGCCGCUUCUACCAUUUCUCCUGGCAGAGACUUUCCCUAGCCAAGGCCAGAGUCAUUCUGGGACAGCUGGUCCCCGGGCCCUGCUGAGGAGCCUGGACAUAGCCCUCUGCUCCGAGGAGUGAUAUACCUGGCCAGACACGAAAGGAAAGAUUAUAAAGGCCAUUUUCUGCAGGCAGCUUAUCCUGAGUAAUCCUGCAAUGACAUGGGGGGCGCAGAGAUCCUGACUGCAUUUCCUUUGGAUUGAUACCCAGAAGUGGGAUUGCUGGAUCAUAUGGGCAUUUCCUGUAUCCAGUCUCUGGAGCCAAGUUCACCAAACCCAGUGCCAAGGGGCCAAUGCUCAGUGAGAAGCACCGCCUGUCCCGUGGCCCAGACCUGUGCGGGCAUGACUGGUGCAUUCUCUUUCUGCAGCUGAUGUCCAUGGAAGGCAAGUCAGGACCAAGUGUCAAGUUGGCGUGGAAUCAGAACAAGGUGGCAAGCCGGACAGGACAACUCUUUACAGAGAUAACUCGAUGGGCCAUUGCAUAACAUCCAGCUCCGCCUGCAGGCUGGGGGUCACCUGGAGACUUUCAUGUCGACCUCACCCCCUGUGCAUUCGUUGCCAGCCUGCCCCUCCCACCUGCCACCUCUGGGACCUCCCCCGAUGACCACGCUCUCUUUGGUGACAUGAUCUUUCUUGAGUCUGAAUGGAGCCAGGCUUUGACCCCUGGGGAGCCUACUGCACCCCCAAAGUGACCCGCAUCUGUGUUUUCCAAGCCUUCCUACAUGGGAUUCAUGGGACACAUAUUUAGGAUUUAGGAACUCAGUGUCAGAACUGGGGGCAGAUGACCAAAUACUGGAAUACGAGAUGCUCCUAGUGCUCUUACCACUUAGGAAAUUCCAAGGGUUUUCGGAGCCCUGGGCCAGGAACCAGGGGCAGAGACCAAUGGACAUAUUUUUCUGUGAUCUCUCAGCCGCUCUCAUCUUCCAGGCGUGAAGCCCCCAGUCCCCCUCUACUGCCUCCCUUGCGCCCGCUCCCUCCACCUGGCUCUGAAGGUUGACUCCCUCAGGCUCUGGGCUGGCUCCUCCCUCCUCUCUGCAGCCCCCGCCUGUCUCACCUGGUCUCACCACCACCACCACCUGAACGCUGAGGACUCCAGAGUCCAAACAGGAGACUCCAGAACUGAGUCAGACCUCCCAGCUUGCUCUUCCAAGUGUCGCUCAGUACCCUGGCACUUGUGACAGCCGCAGCCUGGCUUUGCCAGGGCGUGUCUUCCUGACACAUGGGGCCAUCAGGGUGAGCAGAGGUUUGAACCGCCGCCUGCUCUGUUUCUCCAGAACCUACUGCUUGUGGGGUGGGCCUCGUAGUGGGCUCUGGACUUCCCCGGAAUCAUGUCCUCCUAGCCCUGUGCUGUCAAGCCCUAAAGGCCCUCUGUCUCCUCUCCCCUCUGCGAUGGCUUCCCCAGCUCCCUGCUCACGCUGGCUCAGUUUUCAGCGCUUCCUGCAAAAUGCGCCCCACCCCCAACCCCUGCCCGCAGCCUUCUCAGCCCUUGGGUGGUGGUGAGCCUCUUCCAUGGGCUCCAAGGGGCCCCGGUCACCUCACCAGCCCUGGGCACGCUAUGAGAUCCUGGGGGUGAGCCAGGGUGCCCCUGUCCAUGUGCCCCUACAGGGCACAGGGCAUGUGCUCAGCAAAGGUCGAAUUUCGCUGCCGUGAGCCACCGCGAAGCCCCUGGGGCGAUGCAGCCUGGCCUCCACGGAGAAGGUGAAGGUCAGCCUCUCUCCAGCUAACGCCCAUUGGCCACAGGAGUCUGUGUCUCUGUCUCACUUGCAGCCUCUGGUCAGAGGCUUCCUGGCUCCCAGCCUUAGUGGCCCUGAACUUGGAGUCUCCUCUGCUCUGAGCAAGAGCCUCCCACGCGCACACGGCGGGGCCUUCCUAGACCAGGGUGGGGGGCUGGGGCACCUCUGCUCCCGCCUCUCUGCCUUGUUUUGUGGUUGAGCAAAGCAGGGCUUUAAAGGAAAUUUAUUUUUCCAAAUUGCAGAACAAAGGACACAAUGUUUAGGAAGAAAACACAUUGCUUACAUUUGAGAAAAAUUAGUAGCGUUAUAUAAUGAAAGACACUUGAAGGAGUUGACUCACCCCAGGCUGACAUACAUCUUUGACUAGUUUGUGAGAUACUCAUAAAAUUACAUCCUGUUAAUUUAAGGCUUCUUAUGCUAAUUUUCAGUCAAUUUUAUUUGCCUACGAAAUUUAUUGGUGGCCUCCAGGGUAACAGCCGGGUUUGGCCCAAGUAUGUGGGAUCCUUGUUAAAAACACCAUGUGAAGAAAGAAAAACAGAGUUCGAUGGGAGGGCCAGGAGGACAUGAGGACAGUGUCCAGGCGGUCCAGGCUUGGGGUGGGCUCUGCGGGGCCCCCUGCGAGGGCUUGCCUCAGAACUGGGCCAGGGCAACACUGGGGGACACACUGGGCUGUUCCAGGGCCCAGAGCGGCCUCUGAUGGGUCCAGUACCCCCUCCACAGAUGAGAAAGCUGAGGCACUGAGCUGGUGAGAGUUCCCCCGAGUGGAAAUCCACAGAAGGAUCUACGUGGUCUCGCUGCUCAGCAUGCUCCACAGCCUCAGGCCAGCAAGAGGAGGUUGUUCUGGGCAAAGAAUGUCAGGUGGUAUGUGAGUUGAUAAAACAGUAAAGGGGAGGCCACUUCAAGAAGCUGGCCGCUGCCUCUCUAGGCAGGGAGGCAAACCUAGAACUGGGCCUCCUGGAGGGUCCCCACGCUCAGAGGGGCCGCAUGUUGUCGCCGCCGGAAAAAUUCCUACCAGGCCCCCAUGAAUCGCAUGGCUGGCCCUGCCCCCAAGCCCGGGGCCACAGAGCAGAGGAGAGCCAGGUGUCCAGGGUCACGCCGCCCCCCCAACCAGGCUGUUCCAGCAGCAUCCUCCCGACCUCCUUCUGAUCUUGGCCAAGCCCGGCCUUCUCCCCAAAGGGAGGACCCAGAUGCCUGUGGAAGCCAGCCCCCGGGAAGACUGACACGACAGCGAAGGACAGUGCCCUGAUGCCCCGUGCCAGGCCCUUGCAGGGCUGCCAGCCUUGGGCUGAGAAGGUCAUCCCCCCUGCUGUGCACAGCAGUUAUCCAUGGGGAUGUAGGGUCUCCUGGGGCAAGACGGGGGCACACAGCAGAAAGGUCAGGAAAAGCUCUUCAGAAAAUACUGUGCUUAAGUGAAGACCUAGAAACUGGGUGAGACUUGACCAGUAAAAAGGGUGGAAGAGCAUGCCAAGGCAAGGAAAAGAAAGGGCAAAGACCCAAAGAUGAGCGCGCAAGGAUGUGCUGAGGCGGAGGAGGGUGAUGGGUCUCCAAGAAUGGGGGGACCCGACCAGGUGAGGCUGGAAAGGCACCAC
Mirounga angustirostris (Northern elephant seal) is the source of this 5829-nucleotide long non-coding RNA. RefSeq lists it as uncharacterized. The transcript is spliced from 4 exons. The record is from RefSeq and is a predicted model, not a curated record. Lineage: Eukaryota; Metazoa; Chordata; Mammalia; Carnivora; Phocidae.